AUAGCAGAGCCAAGUUUAAAGGGAGAACUUCAAGCUUUUCACAAAAUAUUCAAAUACAAGACCACAGAAGAAGGGUCUAUGUUUGAGGGAGGAGCAUCGGCGAACUUCCUGUCCUGCUCUGCUGAUGUCACUUUAGGAGUUUGACACCAACUGACAGAGACCAGAGGUGUUCAGUUCUCUCUGGCUCUUGCUGUCCUGUGGGAAAGAAGUGAAAGAAUGAUCGCUUGGCAUGCAUCACUAGAGAGAAUCGGUGUAAAGAAGAAAAUGAGUGUGCCUGCCACCUACUCUCCCCUCUCUUGUGGGAAAGUUGGAGGAGGGAGCCAGAGAAGGGAAGUGAAAAUGCCCAGACUUUUAAGUGUUCCACAAGGCGUGAGAACAAGCACGGGAUGGCUCGGAGAGACAGAGAAUACACAUAUGCCUUUAAGAGAGCAGCAGAGGGAAUUUUGACACAGAAGUACACAGAAGAGAAGGUUCUGUGAAGACAGUAGCAGAGAUCGGAGAGAUACAGCCAGAAGCCCAGGAAUGCCAGGGGAGCCACUCUUCCAGAAGCUGAGAGAGGCAAAGAAGGAUCCUCCUGGGGGAGGCUUUGGAGGCAAUAUGGCCCUGCUGACAUCUUGACUUCAGACUCCUGGCCUCCAGAACUGU
Molecule: long non-coding RNA, 645 nt
Organism: Zalophus californianus (California sea lion)
Lineage: Eukaryota; Metazoa; Chordata; Mammalia; Carnivora; Otariidae
Exons: 3
Source: RefSeq, a predicted model, not a curated record